Molecule: ribosomal RNA, 1244 nt
Filed under: metagenome
Description: bacterial LSU rRNA
Rfam family: Bacterial large subunit ribosomal RNA
Source: RNAcentral
UGAAUACGAGACGCUAAGGCGUCGAAGUAGUGUAUGUCAUACUUCCAAGAAAAGCUUGCACUGUCAUAAGUAAAAAAUGCCUGUACCAUAACCGACACAGGUGGGUAGGUAGAGUAUACUAAGGGGCGCGAGAUAACUCUCUCUAAGGAACUCGGCAAAAUAACUCCGUAACUUCGGGAGAAGGAGUACCUUAUUCUAUAAGGUUGCAAUAACAAGAUCCAAGCAACUGUUUAUCAAAAACACAGGUCUCCGCUAAGUCGUAAGACGAUGUAUGGGGGCUGACGCCUGCCCAGUGCCAGAAGGUUAAAGAAGUCGGUUAGCAUUAGCGAAGCUGGUAACUGAAGCCCUGGUGAACGGCGGCCGUAACUAUAACGGUCCUAAGGUAGCGAAAUUCCUUGUCGGGUAAGUUCCGACCCGCACGAAAGGCGUAAUGAUUUGGAUACUGUCUCGGAGAGGGGCUCGGUGAAAUAGACUUGUCUGUGAAGAUGCGGACUACCUGCACCAGGACAGAAAGACCCUAUGAAGCUUUACUGUAACUUGAAAUUGAAAUUGGACUUUAUUCGCGCAGUAUAGGUGGGAGGUGUUGAUUAUAAUCUUGCGGGAUUAUUGGAGCCAUCAGUGAGAUACCACUCUUGUAAUGUUAGAUUUCUAACUUUGAAUCAUUAUCUGGUCAAAGGACAGUUUCAGGCGGGCAGUUUGACUGGGGCGGUCGCCUCCCAAACGGUAACGGAGGCGUACAAAGGUUUCCUCUGAACGGGUAGAAAUCGUAUCUAGAGUGUAAAGGCAUAAGGAAGCUUGACUGUGAGACCUACAAGUCGAACAGGGACGAAAGUCGGUCUUAGUGAUCUGACGGUACUGAGUGGAAAGGCCGUCACUCAACGGAUAAAAGUUACUCUAAGGAUAACAGGCUGAUCUCCCCCAAGAGUUCACAUCGACGGGGAGGUUUGGCACCUUGAUGUCGGCUCAUCGCAUCCUGGGGCGGUAGUACGUCCCAAGGGUUGGGCUGUUCGCCCAUGAAAGCGGUACGCGAGCUGGGUUCAGAACGUCGUGAGACAGUUCGGUCCAUAUCCGGUGUAGGCGUUAGAAUAUUGAGAGGAGCCUUCUUUAGUACGAGAGGACCGAGAAGGACAUACCUCUGGUGUACCAGUUAUCGUGCCAACGGUAAACGCUGGGUAGCUAUGUAUGGAGUGGAUAACCGCUGAAAGCAUCUAAGUGGGAAGCCCACCUCAAGAUAAGUAUUCUCC